UACGAAGGGUGCAAACGUUGCUCGGAAUCAUUGGGCGUAAAGCGCACGUAGGCGGCCUUGUAAGUCGGAUGUGAAAUCCCUCGGCUCAACUGAGGACGUGCAUUCGAAACUGCUCGGCUCGAGUAUGGAAGAGGGUCGCGGAAUUCCCGGUGUAGAGGUGAAAUUCGUAGAUAUCGGGAGGAACACCGGUGGCGAAGGCGGCGACCUGGGUAGAUACUGACGCUGAGGCGCGAAAGCGUGGGGAGCAAACAGG
This 253-nucleotide ribosomal RNA is filed under the name uncultured bacterium. RNAcentral describes it as "partial 16S ribosomal RNA". It matches the Rfam family "Bacterial small subunit ribosomal RNA", at positions 524 to 776 of the family's 1533-position model. The record is from RNAcentral.